This 301-nucleotide ribosomal RNA is filed under the name uncultured bacterium. RNAcentral describes it as "partial 16S ribosomal RNA". It matches the Rfam family "Bacterial small subunit ribosomal RNA", at positions 509 to 807 of the family's 1533-position model. The record is from RNAcentral.
CAGUAGCCGCGGGAAUACGUAGGUGGCAAGCGUUGUCCGGAAUUAUUGGGCGUAAAGGGCUCGCAGGCGGUUUCUUAAGUCCGAUGUGAAAGCCCCCGGCUCAACCGGGGAGGGUCAUUGGAAACUGGGAAACUUGAGUGCAGAAGUGGAGAGUGGAAUUCCACGUGUAGCGGUGAAAUGCGUAGAGAUGUGGAGGAACACCAGUGGCGAAGGCGACUCUCUGGUCUGUAACUGACGCUGAGGAGCGAAAGUGUGGGGAGCGAACAGGAUUAGAUACCCGUGUAGUCCCUGUCUCUUAUAC